AGUGAACGCUGGCGGUAGGCCUAACACAUGCAAGUCGAACGGCAGCACAGUAAGAGCUUGCUCUUACGGGUGGCGAGUGGCGGACGGGUGAGGAAUACAUCGGAAUCUACUUUUUCGUGGGGGAUAACGUAGGGAAACUUACGCUAAUACCGCAUACGACCUACGGGUGAAAGCAGGAGAUCUUCGGACCUUGCGCGAUUGAAUGAGCCGAUGUCGGAUUAGCUAGUUGGCGGGGUAAAGUCCCACCAAGGCGACGAUCCGUAGCUGGUCUGAGAGGAUGAUCAGCCACACUGGAACUGAGACACGGUCCAGACCCCUACGGGAGGCAGCAGUGGGGAAUAUUGGACAAUGGGCGCAAGCCUGAUCCAGCCAUACCGCGUGGGUGAAGAAGGCCUUCGGGUUGUAAAGCCCUUUUGUUGGGAAAGAAAAGCAGCAGGUUAAUACCCCGCUGUUCUGACGGUACCCAAAGAAUAAGCACCGGCUAACUUCGUG
This 492-nucleotide ribosomal RNA is filed under the name uncultured bacterium. RNAcentral describes it as "partial 16S ribosomal RNA". It matches the Rfam family "Bacterial small subunit ribosomal RNA", at positions 29 to 507 of the family's 1533-position model. The record is from RNAcentral.